AGAUAUUCCACCCCAUCCUGAUAUUCCAGGAGCUGAAGAGUCGAAUCCAUAAUCCACUGACAAAUACGGUACAUGCAUUUGUUGACACUGAAUGUAUCUACAGGUAUGCAGUGCGUAAAUAUGCAUAUAGAUAUUCCUCACAUUUCACACUCUUUAUUCAAGGAACGGGUGGUUAUACCAAAGGAAGAGUACAACCAGAAGGCCCCUGUCUCUGUGCCUGAUGUGUCUACUGUUUCUGAGGUGCUGCCUCACCCGUAUUCCCUCAGCCUGAGCUGCACACUUUAAAGCAGCAGCCAGCACCACCACAACAGAUCCACAUCCAGCAGCACCUCCAGUUCCACUUCCUCCCAGACAGAAAGGAGUGGAAGUGGUCGACUGUUGCAUAAUAAAAGCUCCGCUGCUUUUGAGCCGUGUCAUGCUCGUUCAGCAGCCUCGUUUCACUUUGACGGCUUUUAGCCUCACCCUGUUUCAUACUACUACUACGUUCUGCCCGAGUCCCGUCAGAUUG
This is a long non-coding RNA of Cyprinus carpio carpio, 508 nucleotides long. The record is from Ensembl. Lineage: Eukaryota; Metazoa; Chordata; Actinopteri; Cypriniformes; Cyprinidae.